GAUGAACGCUGGCGGCGUGCCUAAUACAUGCAAGUCGAGCGAACAGACGAGGAGCUUGCUCCUCUGACGUUAGCGGCGGACGGGUGAGUAACACGUGGAUAACCUACCUAUAAGACUGGGUUAACUUCGGGAAACCGGAGCUAAUACCGGAUAUUAUAUUGAACCGCAUGGUUCAAUAGUGAAAGACGGUUUUGCUGUCCCUUAAAGAUGGAUCCGCGCCGCAUUAGCUAGUUGGUAAGGUAACGGCUUACCAAGGCAACGAUGCGUAGCCGACCUGAGAGGGUGAUCGGCCACACUGGAACUGAGACACGGUCCAGACUCCUACGGGAGGCAGCAGUAGGGAAUCUUCCGCAAUGGGCGAAAGCUUGACGGAGCAACGCCGCGUGAGUGAUGAAGGUCUUCGGAUCGUAAAACUCUGUUAUUAGGGAAGAACAAAUGUGUAAGUAACUAUGCACGUCUUGACGGUACCUAAUCAGAAAGCCACGGCUAACUACGUG
RNAcentral lists this ribosomal RNA (497 nucleotides) under uncultured bacterium. RNAcentral describes it as "partial 16S ribosomal RNA". It matches the Rfam family "Bacterial small subunit ribosomal RNA", at positions 28 to 507 of the family's 1533-position model. The record is from RNAcentral.